Long non-coding RNA from Alnus glutinosa, 656 nucleotides. RefSeq lists it as uncharacterized. The record is from RefSeq and is a predicted model, not a curated record. NCBI's taxonomy places the organism in Eukaryota, Viridiplantae, Streptophyta, Magnoliopsida, Fagales, Betulaceae. The transcript has 3 exons.
CAGGAGAGAGAGAGAUACUAAGAGGAAGAGAUGCUGAGAGUCAGAGAGAGACCGAGAGAUCGAGAGUGAGGUAGCCGGAGGGGGGGUAGAGAACCGGCGAGCCUGUGACCCAGGGGAGGCCGAUCCUCCAUGGAUCGACGCCGGCGACGCGAGUACUGGUCGAUUCUAUCGGUGGGUCGACGAUCGGUGGAGCUUGGACCCAUGACCCAUGAGCUAAACCUAGGAGAACCCGUGACCCAACUAAACCAAGAGAGAGAUUCGGUGGCCUCAGUGGCAAAAUCCGACUCGAUUUUCGGCGAUUGGAUGCCGUUCUCCGGUGGUUUUCGUCGGCAGUGGACUGCCCAGCAACCCGUGCAACCCAUGACCAAGAGAGAGAACUCGUGAGACCCAUUGACCCGAGACCCGAUGGCUUGAAGGCUGGUUUUCCGGCGACUUCCAAAACUGAUUUCCGGCGAUUCCAUGGUGAUUUUCCGGUGGUUUCCCUUGGCCUAAACAGAAACUCUCAAAGGGUAAAAGCUCGACCUUGACGCUAAUGGCAAGUUCAGAUGACCCAGUAAGACGGUGUCAUUUCUUGAUAUUGGCGUAGACCUCGCUAAUGGCAUUAGAUCAUUGUGGACCGACUAAAUCUUUACUUUGUAUAGUAUGUUUCUUUUUGG